Molecule: ribosomal RNA, 308 nt
Filed under: uncultured bacterium
Lineage: Bacteria
Description: bacterial SSU rRNA
Rfam family: Bacterial small subunit ribosomal RNA
Source: RNAcentral
AACGAACGCUGGCGGCAGGCCUUAUACAUGCAAGUCGAGCGAGAACGGUACUUCGGUACUUAUUAGAGCGGCGAACGGGUGAGUAACGCGUGGGAACAUACACAGCACUGGGGGAUAACCAUUGGAAACGAUGGCUAAUACCGCAUACGCCCUACGGGGGAAAGAUUUAUUGGUGUUGGAUUGGCCCGCGUUAGAUUAGCUAGUUGGUACGGUAAUGGCGUACCAAGGCAACGAUCUAUAGCUGGUUUGAGAGGAUGAUCAGCCACACUGGAACUGAGACACGGUCCAGACUCCUACGGGAGGCAGCA